This 400-nucleotide unclassified non-coding RNA is filed under the name soil metagenome. Its description in RNAcentral is "partial contains 5.8S ribosomal RNA, internal transcribed spacer 2, and large subunit ribosomal RNA". The stretch from base 1 to 122 matches the Rfam family "5.8S ribosomal RNA", at positions 35 to 154 of the family's 154-position model. The record is from RNAcentral.
GAUGAAGAACGCAGCGAAAUGCGAUACUUGGUGUGAAUUGCAGAAUCCCGUGAACCAUCGAGUCUUUGAACGCAAGUUGCGCCUCAAGCCAUUAGGUUGAGGGCACGUCUGCCUGGGCGUCACAUAUCGUUGCCUGAUGCCAGUUUCCUCGUGAUGGGUGACUGUGCAGGGCGAAUGAUGGCUUCCCGUGAGCAUUGUUGCCUCAUGGUUGGUUGAAAAGUGAGUCCUUGGUAGGGAGCGCCGUGAUAGAUGGUGGUUGAGUGACGAACGAGACCCAAUCAUGUGAGACCCCUACCGAAUUUGGCCUUCAUGACCCACAUGCGUCUUUGGAACGCUCAUGACGAGACCUCAGGUCAGGCGGGGCUACCCGCUGAGUUUAAGCAUAUCAAUAAGCGGAGGA